This 69-nucleotide transfer RNA is filed under the name Odocoileus virginianus texanus. It matches the Rfam family "tRNA". Rfam says of the family: Transfer RNA (tRNA) molecules are approximately 80 nucleotides in length. Lineage: Eukaryota; Metazoa; Chordata; Mammalia; Artiodactyla; Cervidae. RNAcentral also lists the same sequence under 2 other names. The record is from Rfam by way of RNAcentral.
CCUGGUGGCUCAGAGGGUAAAGCGUCUGCCUACAAUGCAGGAGACCCGGGUUCAAUCCCUGGGUCAGGA